GGCACGCCGGGAACACGGAGCUCGCCUCGCGUCCACCCCGCACCCGGAAGGGCACAAGGCGGACGGGGAAAACCGAAACCAGAAAUUCCGUUUUGUUGGUAAGCAACACAGGAUACCGAACGAAACCCUCAAGGCAACAGCUGCGCUUGGGGAAAGACUGAAGCGGACGGCCUUCGAGCAGUUCGGUGCACGAGCACGGAGCCUGCCGACUGACGCCCUCCAAUCACCACUCACACGCCCUGCCGUUCACUUGGCUACAACCUUGCGGAGCGUCCCGUAGGCCCGAAGCAAUUGCCGUCGGGUCUACAGAAGCACCAAGCAAGGCUAAGCCAGCACCGUCGGACGCGAAAAGCAGCACACAUUUACUUUUUUCCGCAAAAACAAGGCCAUUCACUUGGCUACGACCUUGCCCAGCGUCCCGCAUGGCCCGAAGCAGUUGCCAUUGGGUCUACGGAAGCACCAACCAAGGCUAAGCCAGCACCGUCGGACGCAAAAAGCAGCACACAUUUACUUUUUUCCGCAAAAAACAAGGCCAUUCACUUGGCUACGACCUUGCCCAGCGUCCCGCAUGCCC
RNAcentral lists this long non-coding RNA (574 nucleotides) under Citrus maxima (pomelo). RNAcentral's name for it is "long non-coding RNA (CMAX_LNC004108)". The record is from RNAcentral. Lineage: Eukaryota; Viridiplantae; Streptophyta; Magnoliopsida; Sapindales; Rutaceae.